GCUCUGCACUUACCACAAGGCGGUGCAGGCCGAUCACAAUAGAUGGUCAGCUUGGUUGUCCUGCUUCGGCAAACAAACUACAGGGUCUGGCAAUCUGCGGAGUAGCCUAGAGCGAAACGCGGCACCAGC
This 129-nucleotide non-coding RNA is filed under the name unclassified sequences. The record is from Rfam.